UGGUGGCGAUAGCAAGAAGGAUACACCUGUUCCCAUGCCGAACACAGAAGUUAAGCUUCUUAGCGC
This 66-nucleotide ribosomal RNA is filed under the name Enterococcus cecorum. The record is from RNAcentral. Lineage: Bacteria; Bacillati; Bacillota; Bacilli; Lactobacillales; Enterococcaceae.